This 841-nucleotide ribosomal RNA is filed under the name Lecanora sp. Its description in RNAcentral is "SSU rRNA". It matches the Rfam family "Bacterial small subunit ribosomal RNA", at positions 349 to 1249 of the family's 1533-position model. Lineage: Eukaryota; Fungi; Ascomycota; Lecanoromycetes; Lecanorales; Lecanoraceae. The record is from RNAcentral.
CAACUUGGAGGAAUGUAUAGCAAUAGCUAAUUGCAUCGAUGUUUAUGUAAUUGAUGCAAUAUCGACUAUGUCGAAUAAAAUUCUAGGUAGAAUUAUGAUAAUGACAUUGUCUGCCUAUGUGUCUUGACCAAAUUACGUGCCAGCAGUCGCGGUAAUACGUAGAAGACUAGUGUUAUUCAUCUUUAAUAGGUUUAAAGGGUACCUAGACGGUAAAUCAAGCCUGCAAUAAGGGACUAAUGUACUAGAGUUACUUACGAGGGGGUUUUAAAGUACUGCUGGUGUAGAGAUGAAAUUCUUUCAUACCUCGUUUCGUUUGAAACACUACGGCACAGGUAUAGGCGAAAGCAUCCCCUUAUGUGAUAACUGACGUUGAAGGACGAAGGCUUUUUGUAGCGAACAGGAUUAGAUACCCCAGUAGUCAAAGCAGAAAAUGAUGAAUGUCAUAGAUUAGACAUAUCAUAGUUUAUUCUAUAAAUGAAAGUGUAAGCAUUCCACCUCAAGAGUAAUUUGGCAACAUUGGAACUGAAAUCAUUAGACCGUUUCUGAAACCAGUAGUGAAGUAUGUUAUUUAAUUUGAUAAUCCGCAAAAAACCUUACCACAAUUUGAAUAUUUAUAUUUCUUUUAGGUGAAAAGAUAAUAUAUUUACAAGCGUUGCACGGCUGUCUACAGUUAAUGUCGUGAGAUUCUGGUUAGUUCCAUUAAUUAACGUAAACCCUUACUUUAUUUUUAAUAUAGAGUUGUUCCCCGCUAGAUUGGAUAAGAUAACAGGGACUAAGACAAGUCAUCAUGGCCUAAAUAUUGUGGGCUAUAGACGUGCCACAUAAACCUUACAAAAGGAUG